UACGUAGGGUGCGAGCGUUGUCCGGAAUUAUUGGGCGUAAAGAGCUUGUAGGCGGUUUGUCGCGUCUGCCGUGAAAAUCCGGGGCUCAACCCCGGACUUGCGGUGGGUACGGGCAGACUAGAGUGUGGUAGGGGAGACUGGAAUUCCCGGUGUAGCGGUGAAAUGCGCAGAUAUCGGGAGGAACACCUAUGGCGAAGGCAGCUCGCUGGGACGUUACUGACGCUGAGACGCGAAAGCGUGGGGAGCAAACAGG
This 253-nucleotide ribosomal RNA is filed under the name uncultured bacterium. RNAcentral describes it as "partial 16S ribosomal RNA". It matches the Rfam family "Bacterial small subunit ribosomal RNA", at positions 524 to 776 of the family's 1533-position model. The record is from RNAcentral.